This 253-nucleotide ribosomal RNA is filed under the name uncultured bacterium. Its description in RNAcentral is "partial 16S ribosomal RNA". It matches the Rfam family "Bacterial small subunit ribosomal RNA", at positions 524 to 776 of the family's 1533-position model. The record is from RNAcentral.
UACGAAGGGGGCUAGCGUUGUUCGGAAUUACUGGGCGUAAAGCGUGCGUAGGCGGUUCUCCAAGUCCGUUGUGAAAGCCCCGGGCUCAACCUGGGAAUGGCAGUGGAAACUAGGGGACUGGAAUCUGGCAGAGGGGGGUGGAAUGCCGCGUGUAGCAGUGAAAUGCGUAGAGAUGCGGCGGAACACCGAUGGCGAAGGCAGCCCCCUGGGCUGAGAUUGACGCUCAGGCACGAAAGCGUGGGGAGCAAACAGG